GAUGAAGAACGUAGCGAAAUGCGAUAAGUAAUGUGAAUUGCAGAAUUCAGUGAAUCAUCGAAUCUUUGAACGCACCUUGCGCUCCUUGGUAUUCCGAGGAGCAUGCCUGUUUGAGUGUCAUUAAUAUAUCAACCUCUUCAGCUUAUGCUUGUUGAGUGUUGGAUGGUGGGGGUUUGCUGGUGUCUUAUGAAGUCAGCUCCUCUGAAAUGCAUUAGCGGAACAAUUUGUUGACCGUUCAUUGGUGUGAUAAAAAUAUCUACGCUAUUGACGUCAGUCAGUUCAGCUUCUAGCAGUCCAUUGACUUGGACAAAUUUUUCAUUAAUGUGACCUCAAAUCAGGUAGGACUACCCGCUGAACUUAAGCAUAUCAAUAAGCGGAGGA
Molecule: unclassified non-coding RNA, 381 nt
Filed under: soil metagenome
Description: partial contains 5.8S ribosomal RNA, internal transcribed spacer 2, and large subunit ribosomal RNA
Rfam family: 5.8S ribosomal RNA (bases 1-120)
Source: RNAcentral